Molecule: ribosomal RNA, 300 nt
Filed under: uncultured Veillonellaceae bacterium
Lineage: Bacteria; Bacillati; Bacillota; Negativicutes; Veillonellales; Veillonellaceae
Description: bacterial SSU rRNA
Rfam family: Bacterial small subunit ribosomal RNA
Source: RNAcentral
GACGAACGCUGGCAGCGUGCUUAACACAUGCAAGUCGAACGGGCACUUCGGUGUCAGUGGCGAACGGGUGAGUAAAGCGCAGGUAAUCUGCCGCAAAGUCGGGGACAACGUUGCGAAAGUGACGCUAAUACCGGAUGUUGUGUAGCUGUCGCAUGACAGUUGCACUAAAGAUUUAUCGCUUUGCGAGGAGCCUGCGUCCGAUUAGCUUGUUGGUGGGGUAAAAGCCUACCAAGGCGACGAUCGGUAGCCGGUCUGAGAGGAUGAACGGCCACAAUGGAACUGAGACACGGUCCAUACUCC